RNAcentral lists this non-coding RNA (20 nucleotides) under Arabidopsis thaliana (thale cress). The record is from RNAcentral. Lineage: Eukaryota; Viridiplantae; Streptophyta; Magnoliopsida; Brassicales; Brassicaceae.
CGGGAUCCCUCGCGGGUGCA